This 58-nucleotide transfer RNA is filed under the name Tigriopus californicus. RNAcentral describes it as "tRNA-Pro". The record is from RNAcentral. Lineage: Eukaryota; Metazoa; Arthropoda; Copepoda; Harpacticoida; Harpacticidae.
UUCAGGAUAGUUAAAGAAUAAUACUAGCUUUGGAAGUUAGAGUUUGAAAUACCUGAAA